GAACACCUGGGACUACAGGAAGCUGGAAGAGGAAUAUGGAGCACAUUCCUCCCUAGAGCCUUGUGUGGGAGUGGGAUCCUGCAGACUGCUUGACUUCAGACGUCUGGCUUCUAGACUCGUGAUACAGUAUGUGUGUGUUGUUUCAAGCCACACAGUUUGUGUUAUGUACUAUGCAGCCCCAGGCAAAAGUAGAGACACAUUGCAUCCAAAUCGGUGGGCAUAAGGGCACCCUUCACACACCCUGUGGCAGUAUCGGGGGCCCAUCUCAGGUCCAGGUGUCCCUAGCCACUAAGCUGUUGGCCUCCUAGGUUCUGUGUUCUUAAAGGGAAAGCAGUCUCCUUCCCAAGCGGUACAGCUCCUCUACUGGGAUUUGGGCAAAAUUCAUACCUUGGUAUUUGUGACCUCCAUGACCCAACAUACUAACAUUAUUAAUAAAAGUUUGUUGAGAGACCAUCAGCAGGGUUUGCUCUGGGAUGAACUGUGACUCUACAAGCUCCAUCAUGGACCCCUCAAGGGCCCCACCUGGGCCCCACCUUGGCUGAGUCACUUUGAAACAUCUGCUCAUGGAAAAUGAAGCACGUCCUGGGGGCACAUGGUGAUCAAAAAGGAAAAGAAAGUGACGGUAUCACACUGCAGCACGAGGUCCAGGGAGGAACCUGGAGGCCUGUUGAUCAUCUGCAUCCCAGUGUUCCCCGCCUGCAUUGUCCUCUUCACGUCCUUGCCCACGAGUCCAGAUGAAAAAGGGAGGUCCACAUUGCAAAGGGGGGAUGUCCCUGAAACUGGUCCCUCCUGCCAUCGCACUGCCUGUGACUCCAGGGCAGAGUAGAAGCUGCCUUGGAAGGGACAGGAUUCCUUGG
Manis pentadactyla (Chinese pangolin) is the source of this 857-nucleotide long non-coding RNA. RefSeq lists it as uncharacterized. The record is from RefSeq and is a predicted model, not a curated record. The transcript is spliced from 3 exons. NCBI's taxonomy places the organism in Eukaryota, Metazoa, Chordata, Mammalia, Pholidota, Manidae.